Homo sapiens (human) is the source of this 922-nucleotide long non-coding RNA. RefSeq lists it as uncharacterized. The transcript has 2 exons. The record is from RefSeq and is a predicted model, not a curated record. Lineage: Eukaryota; Metazoa; Chordata; Mammalia; Primates; Hominidae.
CUGCAAGACAAGCUUUGCAAAUCCCACUUGAGAGCAAUGUGGUAUAAGUUGUUGGUUUGUGAAGACAGGUUUUAGACAAAGAACCAUGGUAUUUUCUGGAAGAUAUGUAAUGUUUUGAAGAGGAUGAGAUGAGGAAGUUGGGCCUCAGGAAUAUUAUCGAAUUUUCCCAAACUCAUCUGGUUAAUAAAUGUAUUUGAUUCAAAAGCCAUUCUGUUUCUACCACGUUGAAUUACCAAAACUUGCAGAAGAGAAUAUAAUCCUCAUCAUGUUUAAUUUCGAAAGAGACGGACUGGUAACAGAUAGUUUACAGCCGUAGCAGGAUUUCUUGUGUUUGUUGUUAAGAAACUUGAUAAGAAAGAUGGCUGCUCCCUAAAGGAAAGAAAAGGAACAAUUCAAAGCAAUAUGAACUUCAGGUAAGGUUGAGGCAGUGCCGAGCAGUGUCUGGAAAGAGAAUUCUCUAGACUAGAUUAAACAGAGUUGAAUCCAAUGAAGUGGGAACAUGGAAGGCCGCAGAAAAGCUGACAUAAAGCAGAGCAAAGGAACAGUAAAGACACUGGGAGCAGAGGUUGUGUUCAAAUGGGCACAGUCGGGGAUGAGUACCUCUAAGGAGCAUCAGUGGCCCCACACCAAUGAGGCCCGGCUCUCCUUCCCAAGUUGACCUAGGGGUGUUUGGUGAACAUCAGGGAAGAAUGUUUUGGGAAGCUCUCAGACAGGCUUCUCGGAGUCCGGUCAAGCUUUCAAGGCUGUUGCCAUUCCCAAAUGGAUCUUUUGUGAAACUCACCCAAAUCAGAAAGGUCACCUGAGGUCACAUUAUAGAGAGCUGGAAGAAGGACAUUUUUCCAAAUAAAAUUUAAAAAGUGUUUAUUUUUAAACUGUCCCUGUUCACUUGGACAAGUAUCUCCAAAUAAACCAAUGGGCUUUG